This 450-nucleotide ribosomal RNA is filed under the name uncultured bacterium. RNAcentral describes it as "bacterial SSU rRNA". It matches the Rfam family "Bacterial small subunit ribosomal RNA", at positions 354 to 796 of the family's 1533-position model. The record is from RNAcentral.
GUGGGGAAUAUUGGACAAUGGGCGCAAGCCUGAUCCAGCCAUGCCGCGUGUAUGAAGAAGGUCUUCGGAUUGUAAAGCACUUUAUGUUGGGAGGAAGGGCAGUAAGUUAAUACCUUGCUGUUUUGACGUUACCGACAGAAUACGCACCGGCUAACUUCGUGCCAGCAGCCGCGGUAAUACGAAGGGUGCAAGCGUUAAUCGGAAUUACUGGGCGUAAAGCGUGCGUAGGUGGGGUUGUAAGUCAGAGGUGAAAUCCCCGAGCUCAACCUGGGAACUGCCUCUGAGACUGUAUGACUGGAGUACGGUAGAGGGUAGUGGAAUUUGCUGUGUAGCGGUGAAAUGCGUAGAUAUACGAAGGAACACCGAUGGCGAAGGCGACUACCUGGACUGAUACUGACGCUGAGGCGCGAAAGCGUGGGGAGCAAACAGGAUUAGAAACCCCAGUAGUCC